GCUUGUCUCAAAGAUUAAGCCAUGCAUGUGUUAGUAUAAACGCCUUUAUACUGUGAAACUGCGAACGGCUCAUUAUAUCAGUUAUAGUUUAUUUGAUACUUUUCGACUAUUGGAUAACCGUAGUAAUUCUAGAGCUAAUACAUGCGCCAAGUCCCGUCUCACGUCGGGAUGUAUUUAUUAGAUUUCAAUCAACACUUUUUGCUGACUCAUGAUAACUUAGCGGAUCGCAGAGGCCUCGCGCCGGCGCUAGUUCAUUCAAAUUUCUGCCCUAUCAGCUUUCGACGGUAGUGUAGUGGACUACCGUGGCGCUAACGGGUGACGGAGAAUUAGGGUUCGGUUCCGGAGAGGGAGCCUGAGAAACGGCUACCACAUCCAAGGAAGGCAGCAGG
RNAcentral lists this ribosomal RNA (389 nucleotides) under uncultured marine stramenopile. Its description in RNAcentral is "partial small subunit ribosomal RNA". It matches the Rfam family "Eukaryotic small subunit ribosomal RNA", at positions 30 to 432 of the family's 1831-position model. The record is from RNAcentral.